UGCAGUCGACGGCAGCGCGGGCUUCGGCCUGGCGGCGAGUGGCGAACGGGUGAGUAAUGCAUCGGAACGUACCCAGUCGUGGGGGAUAACACAUCGAAAGAUGUGCUAAUACCGCAUACGUCCUGAGGGAGAAAGCGGGGGACCUUCGGGCCUCGCGCGAUUGGAGCGGCCGAUGUCAGAUUAGCUAGUAGGUGGGGUAAAGGCCCACCUAGGCGACGAUCUGUAGCGGGUCUGAGAGGAUGAUCCGCCACACUGGGACUGAGACACGGCCCAGACUCCUACGGGAGGCAGCAGUGGGGAAUUUUGGACAAUGGGGGCAACCCUGAUCCAGCCAUGCCGCGUGAGUGAAGAAGGCCUUCGGGUUGUAAAGCUCUUUCGGCCGGGAAGAAAUCGCACCUUUUAAUAGAGGGUGUGGAUGACGGUACCGGACUAAGAAGCACCGGCUAACUACGUGCCAGCAGCCGCGGUAAUACGUAGGGUGCGAGCGUUAAUCGGAAUUACUGGGCGUAAAGCGUGCGCAGGCGGUUUGCCAAGACAGGCGUGAAAUCCCCGGGCUUAACCUGGGAACUGCGCUUGUGACUGGCAGGCUAGAGUACGGCAGAGGGGGGUGGAAUUCCACGUGUAGCAGUGAAAUGCGUAGAGAUGUGGAGGAACACCGAUGGCGAAGGCAGCCCCCUGGGCCUGUACUGACGCUCAUGCACGAAAGCGUGGGGAGCAAACAGGAUUAGAUA
RNAcentral lists this ribosomal RNA (731 nucleotides) under uncultured bacterium. RNAcentral describes it as "bacterial SSU rRNA". It matches the Rfam family "Bacterial small subunit ribosomal RNA", at positions 56 to 784 of the family's 1533-position model. The record is from RNAcentral.